Homo sapiens (human) is the source of this 1887-nucleotide RNA transcript. It is a transcript of the gene named sepiapterin reductase (7,8-dihydrobiopterin:NADP+ oxidoreductase) pseudogene, with no coding region annotated. NCBI's taxonomy places the organism in Eukaryota, Metazoa, Chordata, Mammalia, Primates, Hominidae. The record is from RefSeq and is marked validated. The transcript has a single exon.
GCAACGACGAUGCGCUGCGGCAGCUGGAGGCCGAGCUGGGCGCCGGGCGGUCUGACUUGCGCGUCGUGCGGGUGCCCGCAGACCUGGGCGCCGAGGCUGGCUUGCAGCCCGCUGCUUGGGGCCUUGCGUCAGCUCCCCAGGACCGAGGAGCUGCAGCAACUGCUCUUCAUCAACAACGCGGGCUCUCCUGGGGAUGUGUCCAAAGGCUUCGUGGACCUGGGUGACUCCACUCAAGUGAACAAAGACUGGGCGCUGAACUUGACCUCCAUGCUCUCUCUGCCGGACUUGCAGCGUCUCGAAGGCCUUACCAACCAGUCCUGGCCUCAACAGAACUGUGGUUAACAUCUCAACCCUCUGUGCCCUGCAGCCCUUCAAAGGCUGAGCGCUGUGCUGUGCGGGAAAGGCUGCUGGUAACAUUCUGUUGAGGUCCUGGCGUCGGAGGAACCUAAUGUGAGGGUGCCGAAUUAGGCCCCAGGUCCUGUGGACACAGACGUGUCCCGGAGGUUAGCCCGGUAGACCUCCAUGGACCCAGACAUGCGAAAAGGCUGCAGGAGCUGAAGGCAAAGGGAGAGCUGGUGGAUUGCAGGGUGUCAGCCCAGAAACGGCUGAGCUCGCUGCAAAAGGGGGUGUUCAAGCCUGGAGCCCACGUGGACUUCUACUAUAAAUAAGCCCAUGUCUUUGGCUUCCUGAACCUUUCUGCCCCCACUUUCAGACACACCCCCAGAGCCCCGUGGCUCCCCACACCCUGCCAUGGUGGCAGUCCUGCCUUACACAGAUAAACACUCAUGUCUACUGUCCUACCUUCACACAUAGCCUGCUGUGAUGAGCUUCCAGGUCGCUGGCCUUACCAGUUGUCGAGAGUCUGGAUGUGGCACCCUGGAUUAUGAGGAGGCUUAGGAGAGAGGUUAUGGGUAUUCAUGUCUCUAUCCCCAGGAAUAGAAUUUAAGGGAUGGGAAGAGCAGGAAAAGAAGCUGAAACACACAAGAGAAGAGGUUGUGUCUCCUGCUCAUAGCUAGUCCAUGGGGAGAGGGAAGAGUGACCUGAGUCAAAUAGGAGAACGCAUGCAGAUUCGCAGAUGGCCUGGUAGGGAGGAAGAGCAGAGGGUACAAGUCCCCGCUCACACAGAUGCCCCUUGCUGAGGGGAGCAGCAGCUUCUGUUGAACUUUGUGUCCUCACUCUGAUGUCUACUUCCUCCAGAAUCCACCACCCCUUCCCCAGGCUGGGAGAAGGGGCCGUUGGGUGUCUAUGUACAUGGCCAAGGCAGAUACAAAUAAAAUUAAAAAAAAAAAAAAAAAAGGGAGAGGGUUACUUAACCUUUUCAGUUAAGGCAACAUUGCUACCUUUCAAGGAGUGAGUGAUUGAAGUCAAGAAAGAAGCCCUGCUUGGGAUUAGAGAAACUGAAAAGAAAUACGAUGACUCAUUAAAACAGUUUGAAAACUAUAGAAAGGUCAACAAUUUAAUGCAAAUAUUAAUUAAAUGCCUAGAAAAAGAAAAGGGAGGCAAAAGUGAGUGAAGAAGAACAUCUAUUGCCCUUCAUAUGUGUCAACCACUGAGCUACGAGCUUUACCUAUAUGAAUUGAAUUGAUUUUCAUAACCCUAUAAGGCAAGUACUAUUUUUAUCCCCAUUUUACAUAUGAAGAAAUCGUGCCACAGAGAAGUUUAAUAACCUGCCCAAGGUAACACACAGUAGAGCAGUCAGGAUUCCAAUUCACUAACUACUGCUUUAUCCUCUUCCUUGGCACUACAUACCAGUGACUGCUGGGGCAACAAAAAUGUAGAAAACAUGGUCCCAGUCUUUGGAGGACUCAUGGGGAAACACCAUACAAUAUUCUGACUUUGGGAAAGUGACCUAAUAUUUCUAAUUAAAAUGGAAAUUAAUAACCCCUU